RNAcentral lists this small RNA (868 nucleotides) under Malus domestica (apple). Its description in RNAcentral is "sRNA MD06G0075000". The record is from RNAcentral. Lineage: Eukaryota; Viridiplantae; Streptophyta; Magnoliopsida; Rosales; Rosaceae.
AUGCAUCACCUAUUGUCUCAAAAUCAGAAAAGUAAAAUAAAAUAAGAAGUAAUCAAAUUACAACCCCAAACCGUAAAGCCUCAUCAUAUGUUCUGCUCUCUUACGGUUUUACCCCGCUCCGUCUCUCGACUGUUCUGCAAAUUCGCCGCCAACGGCGUCCACCACCUCUCUAUCGUCUCCCUCUCUCACCUACUCUCUAACCCUCUGCGCCCCACUCUUCACUAUCUCCUCUCUCUAACCUAUUGGGGAAAGAGAAAUCUUCAGUUGUUCUGCUCUUUCUAACCUUGGACGAGUUCUCCGUGUCUAUUUUUCUCUUCAUUUCACCGAUUUAUGUCUCUCUACAGUGGUCUCUCUCUAAAAGCAAUUGAAAUAUUCUCGAACUCUAUUUUUCAGGUGUAUCGCUAUUGGAUUGGUCUUGCAAUUCCUAAAGGCUAGCUCAUCUUUGGUUAAACCUGAACCUACAUUUGAAUAACAUUGACGAAGUGUCGAGUUAUGUUUAUACGAGCUCCAUAAAAGAAGAACGAAGAGCUGAGAGCGCAAUGGAUUUGCAAAAUGAGAACGAAGAUGUCAUCGCACAAUUAAAGGUUAAGUUUUUGGCUGCAAGUCCGGGGUAAACAUAAGUUGCUGUUAAGUUGCUGUUAAGUUGAGAUGGGAGACCGUAAGUGUUUCCGACUGAUACUUGUUAGUUUUGUGGAUGUUCAUGUUAGGUUUUGAAAUGUCACUUGGUGUAUGUAUUUGACUUAUGUGAUUAAAGUCUUGAUUAAUAAAUAUGUGAUUAAAUGAAGUAUACAUUACAUUUGUUAUGAAUUCUAAUUUCAAAUUAUGAAACAAGGAAUAUAUAUGGUAAUUGGUUCAUCACAUAUUGGAA